This 465-nucleotide ribosomal RNA is filed under the name uncultured bacterium. RNAcentral's name for it is "partial 16S ribosomal RNA". It matches the Rfam family "Bacterial small subunit ribosomal RNA", at positions 338 to 795 of the family's 1533-position model. The record is from RNAcentral.
CCUACGGGAGGCUGCAGUAGGGAAUCUUCCACAAUGGACGAAAGUCUGAUGGAGCAACGCCGCGUGAGUGAAGAAGGGUUUCGGCUCGUAAAGCCCUGUUGGUAGUGAAGUAAGAUAGAGGUAGUAACUGGCUUUUAUUUGACGGUAAUUACUUAGAAAGUCACGGCUAACUACGUGCCAGCAGCCGCGGUAAUACGUAGGUGGCAAGCGUUGUCCGGAUUUAUUGGGCGUAAAGCGAGUGCAGGCGGUUCAAUAAGUCUGAUGUGAAAGCCUUCGGCUCAACCGGAGAAUUGCAUCAGAAACUGUUGAACUUGAGUGCAGAAGAGGAGGGUGGAACUCCAGGUGUAGCGGUGGAAUGCGUAGAUAUAUGGAAGAACACCAGUGGCGAAGGCGGCUCUCUGAUCUGCAACUGACGCUGAGGCUCGAAAGCAUGGGUAGCGAACAGGAUUAGAUACCCUAGUAGUC